GCUGAAGCAAAGCAAACCAACUAUGGCAAAGCCCUCUUUUCCUAUAAAUAAGGAGGAGACGAGGAGAGUAGAGAGUGGGCAUUUAGGGCAUUUUCCAUUUCUAAUAUCCUAAUUUUCAUAGAGAAAUAGAAGAAAGAAGGAGAUGGAACAGAAAAAGAAACUCUAAAAUGACCCUUCAAGACAUAUGGAGCUCCCUUGCUAUAGUCCAAAUGUCCAAUUUUACUUCUCUUGAGAUAUUUUUUUCCAUUCUGAUAAAGUAAAAAAUGAAAGGUACCUUUUUUUUACCCUUUUCUUCUUUUACAUAGUUUUACUGAGUCAACUGUGAGCAGUUUGUGAUAGUAAUUGGCCUCUUUAUCUUCCUCAAGAACACUAUCUGGAUGAUCUUGAAGAUUUCUCUGUCG
This 401-nucleotide long non-coding RNA is filed under the name Ricinus communis (castor bean). Its description in RNAcentral is "long non-coding RNA (RCOM_LNC001241)". The record is from RNAcentral. Lineage: Eukaryota; Viridiplantae; Streptophyta; Magnoliopsida; Malpighiales; Euphorbiaceae.